CUGGGGUGGGGUCCCGAGAGUCUUCAGGUGCACAGGGCUGGAAACGGGGUCAGGGCUACCUUAUGCGCCCCACCCUUUCAAGGAAACUGAGGCCCAGAGAACAGCAGGUGCUGGCACUGGCAGGGCGAUCCCUGACGCUCGGGGAACAGUGUCAGCUCCACCGCUGGAACCCGUGUGUUCUGCCCAUAGCCCACCAUGGCCACCGGGGCCCGUCCCUGCUGCUGUAUGCUUGCCCAUGGCCCGAAUUUUAGGGCAUAGUCAGGGUGGGGGGUGCCUGGAGAUCACCCUGCUGGAGCUGACCUCUGUCCCCACCUGCAGUGCAGCCCAAGCGGGCUGAGCCCAGGGAGGCAUCCCCACUCCACAGCCUGGGCCACCUCAUCAUGGACCAGAGCUAUGUGUGCGCACUCAUCGCCAUGAUGGUGUGGAGCAUCACCUACCAUAGCUGGCUGACCUUUGUGCUGCUGCUCUGGGCCUGCCUCAUCUGGACAGUGCGCAGCCGCCACCAGCUGGCCAUGCUAUGUUCACCCUGCAUCCUGCUGUACGGGAUGACGCUGUGCUGUCUGCGCUACGUGUGGGCCAUGGACCUGCGCCCUGAGCUGCCUACCACCCUGGGCCCCGUCAGUCUGCGCCAGCUGGGGCUGGAGCACACCCGCUACCCCUGCCUGGACCUUGGCGCCAUGUUGCUCUACACCCUGACCUUCUGGCUCCUGCUGCGCCAGUUUGUGAAAGAGAAGCUGCUGAAGCGGGCAGAGGCUCCAGCUGCGCUAACGGAGGUCACUGUGGCAGACACAGGUGAGUGGCAGGCCAGAGGUGGGGGCUGCCCUCCUGCCCGCCCGCCCGCCCCGAUGCCAUCGCCUGCCCCCGGCUUGGCCCACAGAGCCCACGCGGACGCAGACCCUGCUGCAGAGCCUGGGGGAGCUGGUGAAGGGCGUCUAUG
Molecule: long non-coding RNA, 937 nt
Filed under: Rhinopithecus bieti (black snub-nosed monkey)
Lineage: Eukaryota; Metazoa; Chordata; Mammalia; Primates; Cercopithecidae
Description: lncRNA (ENSRBIG00000046756.1)
Source: RNAcentral